CCUACGGGGGGCUGCAGUGGGGAAUAUUGGACAAUGGGCGAAAGCCUGAUCCAGCAAUGCCGCGUGAGUGAUGAAGGCCUUAGGGUUGUAAAGCUCUUUUACCAGGGAUGAUAAUGACAGUACCUGGAGAAUAAGCUCCGGCUAACUCCGUGCCAGCAGCCGCGGUAAUACGGAGGGAGCUAGCGUUGUUCGGAAUUACUGGGCGUAAAGCGCACGUAGGCGGCUACUCAAGUCAGAGGUGAAAGCCCGGGCUCAACCCCGGAACUGCCUUUGAAACUAGGUAGCUAGAAUCUUGGAGAGGUCAGUGGAAUUCCGAGUGUAGAGGUGAAAUUCGUAGAUAUUCGGAAGAACACCAGUGGCGAAGGCGACUGACUGGACAAGUAUUGACGCUGAGGUGCGAAAGCGUGGGGAGCAAACAGGAUUAGAUACCCCGGUAGUCA
RNAcentral lists this ribosomal RNA (440 nucleotides) under uncultured Novosphingobium sp. Its description in RNAcentral is "bacterial SSU rRNA". It matches the Rfam family "Bacterial small subunit ribosomal RNA", at positions 338 to 796 of the family's 1533-position model. The record is from RNAcentral. Lineage: Bacteria; Pseudomonadati; Pseudomonadota; Alphaproteobacteria; Sphingomonadales; Sphingomonadaceae.